Molecule: long non-coding RNA, 510 nt
Filed under: Equus asinus (donkey)
Lineage: Eukaryota; Metazoa; Chordata; Mammalia; Perissodactyla; Equidae
Description: lncRNA (ENSEASG00005034696.1)
Source: RNAcentral
GGGGGUAGGGCACAGAGACGUGAAUAAUAAUUGUAAUUGUGAUGAGGCUGCGUGAACUGAACUUUUAUCUUGCUGCCAUCCCCAAGGCACCAGACCUGUGGUCGAGGGAGAAACUUCCUGGCGAUUUGGGCCUGCCAGCAAUCAUUGCGAGCCGAGGGCUGCUCUUAGGUAAAGACAAUGGGCACUGGUUGCUCUUUCUCAAAUGUGAAAAAGACACAUCACAUCGGUGGUGGGAGACGCCAUCCUCGCCUCCAAGAGAAGAGCAAUAGCAGCUAUGAGACACACACAGUCAGGUUCCAUACGGAGUCUCCAGCUGGCCUUCGUGGAGCAAGGGACUGGGCAAGCCUGCCCGGUUGUACGGUCACCCUUUGGAGGGUACUCUUUGCUGCUAAUGAUCCAUGAAGAGGGGGUUGCUGAUGCCUGAAGGGGAUCUUGGACAAAGGAGCUACACUCAGCUCUGGAUAACUCUUUGCUGGCCUUUCCCUAAACUAAAUAAACAUUGAAUACUAA